This is a long non-coding RNA of Poecilia latipinna (sailfin molly), 236 nucleotides long. RefSeq lists it as uncharacterized. Lineage: Eukaryota; Metazoa; Chordata; Actinopteri; Cyprinodontiformes; Poeciliidae. The record is from RefSeq and is a predicted model, not a curated record. The transcript is spliced from 4 exons.
AAUGAAAGACUAUCCUUCGAAAGGGCAUGUGCUGAAGAGCGUGUCAACAAAUUGACGAGGGCUAACACCGAAUUAAGUGCUGAACAUGUGGAGACUCUGGCUUCGGUGAUGCUGAAACACAAAGAAAUAACGAGGAAAAACAUCCUACUGGACAAGAUGAAGAACUUUCAUGCGGAAAAUUACAAAAUGAUUGAGGGUCUGCUGUCAGAGCUGCGGAGGUUACAGGAACAUUCACA